This 377-nucleotide ribosomal RNA is filed under the name uncultured bacterium. RNAcentral's name for it is "bacterial SSU rRNA". It matches the Rfam family "Bacterial small subunit ribosomal RNA", at positions 521 to 898 of the family's 1533-position model. The record is from RNAcentral.
UAAUACGUAGGGGGCAAGCGUUGUCCGGAAUUAUUGGGCGUAAAGCGCGCGCAGGCGGUUUCUUAAGUCUGGUGUCUAAGUGCGGGGCUCAACCCCGUGAUGCACUGGAAACUGGGAGACUUGAGUGCAGAAGAGGAGAGCGGAAUUCCACGUGUAGCGGUGAAAUGCGUAGAGAUGUGGAGGAACACCAGUGGCGAAGGCGGCUCUCUGGACUGUAACUGACGCUGAGGCGCGAAAGCGUGGGGAGCAAACAGGAUUAGAUACCCUGGUAGUCCACGCUGUAAACGAUGAGUGCUAGGUGUUGGGGGGGUCCACCCCUCGGUGCCGAAGUAAACACAUUAAGCACUCCGCCUGGGGAGUACGGUCGCAAGACUGAA